UGCCAGCCGCCGCGGUAAUACGGAGGGUGCGAGUGUUAAUCGGAAUUACUGGGCGUAAAGAGUAUGUAGGCGGUUAUGUAAGUUGAAUGUGAAAUCUCUGGGCUCAACCUAGAAACUGCAUUCAAAACUGCUUAGCUAGAGUAUGGUAGAGGAUAGUGGAAUUUCCUGUGUAGCGGUGGAAUGUGUAGAUACAGGAAGGAACACCAGUUGCGAAGGCGGCUAUCUGGACCAAUACUGACGCUGAGAUACGAAAGCUUGGGUAGCAAACAGGAUUAGAUA
RNAcentral lists this ribosomal RNA (279 nucleotides) under uncultured bacterium. RNAcentral's name for it is "partial 16S ribosomal RNA". It matches the Rfam family "Bacterial small subunit ribosomal RNA", at positions 506 to 784 of the family's 1533-position model. The record is from RNAcentral.